RNAcentral lists this ribosomal RNA (497 nucleotides) under uncultured bacterium. Its description in RNAcentral is "partial 16S ribosomal RNA". It matches the Rfam family "Bacterial small subunit ribosomal RNA", at positions 28 to 507 of the family's 1533-position model. The record is from RNAcentral.
GAUGAACGCUGGCGGCGUGCCUAAUACAUGCAAGUCGAACGCAUAGCGAAAGGUGCUUGCACCUUUCAAGUGAGUGGCGAACGGGUGAGUAACACGUGGACAACCUGCCUCAAGGCUGGGGAUAACAUUUGGAAACAGAUGCUAAUACCGAAUAAAACUUAGUGUCGCAUGACACAAAGUUAAAAGGCGCUUCGGCGUCACCUAGAGAUGGAUCCGCGGUGCAUUAGUUAGUUGGUGGGGUAAAGGCCUACCAAGACAAUGAUGCAUAGCCGAGUUGAGAGACUGAUCGGCCACAUUGGGACUGAGACACGGCCCAAACUCCUACGGGAGGCUGCAGUAGGGAAUCUUCCACAAUGGGCGAAAGCCUGAUGGAGCAACGCCGCGUGUGUGAUGAAGGCUUUCGGGUCGUAAAGCACUGUUGUAUGGGAAGAACAGCUAGAAUAGGAAAUGAUUUUAGUUUGACGGUGCCAUACCAGAAAGGGACGGCUAAAUACGUG